ACCAGGAAGUACGGCACUGAGCAGAGGAUAAUGGGACAGUAGUGUUUGUCUAGUCCUACUUUAUUUAGACUGGCUAACACCGUUAACCUUUGACACACCUACUCCCUGUAGAAGAGAUGAUGAGUUGCAGGUGCACUGUCUCUAGGGGAGGUGAGGCUGAAGGAACUGCCUGGCUUGAUCGCUAACCGAGCUCCCGUCAACCCCAUACAGGGAAUACUGGCCCUGCACAGAGGAUAGCAGUGGUACUACGGGAGGUACUGUAUAUAGACGUGAGGAAAGGUGGAUUGGGAGGAGUGGCCAUGCUGCUCGCUGGAUACUGCAUCCUCAGCAACACCUGCAGCUACCCACACAUCAAGCAUGAUCGCUGGAGGAAGUACCACUGAGCCCUGGCGGUAAGGGUCAGACUAAGGGGAAACAUCUGUCACUCAGGGACGGAGCCCCUAGUGGUGGAGACCAGAUGUGCAGAGCUGUAGUCUCGUGUUACCUGGAAAUAAAGGCUAGAAGAUCUGAAGCUAUGGCGAGUUCUCUACAUAGAAUCAUCUGUGAGAGGUGGGAGAAUGUGAACAGAGGCAACACUAAGGUGCUGAGCGAAAAAGUCUAAUUUCAGUUUCAUGUCUUCUAGUCUAUACCAGGCCUAUAUAUACAAAGGUAUGUGGACACCUAUUCAAAUUUGUGGAUUUGGCUAUUUCAGCCACACCCGUUGCUGACAGGU
This is a long non-coding RNA of Oncorhynchus tshawytscha (Chinook salmon), 712 nucleotides long. RefSeq lists it as uncharacterized. NCBI's taxonomy places the organism in Eukaryota, Metazoa, Chordata, Actinopteri, Salmoniformes, Salmonidae. The transcript has 3 exons. The record is from RefSeq and is a predicted model, not a curated record.